RNAcentral lists this ribosomal RNA (349 nucleotides) under uncultured Sphingomonas sp. Its description in RNAcentral is "bacterial SSU rRNA". It matches the Rfam family "Bacterial small subunit ribosomal RNA", at positions 82 to 448 of the family's 1533-position model. Lineage: Bacteria; Pseudomonadati; Pseudomonadota; Alphaproteobacteria; Sphingomonadales; Sphingomonadaceae. The record is from RNAcentral.
GGCUUCGGCCUUAGUGGCGCACGGGUGCGUAACGCGUGGGAAUCUGCCCUUGGGUUCGGAAUAACAGUUAGAAAUGACUGCUAAUACCGGAUGAUGUCGUAAGACCAAAGAUUUAUCGCCCAAGGAUGAGCCCGCGUAGGAUUAGCUAGUUGGUGAGGUAAAAGCUCACCAAGGCGACGAUCCUUAGCUGGUCUGAGAGGAUGAUCAGCCACACUGGGACUGAGACACGGCCCAGACUCCUACGGGAGGCAGCAGUGGGGAAUAUUGGACAAUGGGCGAAAGCCUGAUCCAGCAAUGCCGCGUGAGUGAUGAAGGCCUUAGGGUUGUAAAGCUCUUUUACCAGGGAUGA